Molecule: RNA transcript, 3406 nt
Organism: Nicotiana attenuata
Lineage: Eukaryota; Viridiplantae; Streptophyta; Magnoliopsida; Solanales; Solanaceae
Gene name: potassium transporter 11-like
Exons: 9
Source: RefSeq, a predicted model, not a curated record
AAAAAAAAAGAAACACGAACACAUCUGUCUUUCUCUAAUAAAACCUUCUCUCCUCAGAGACAGACAGAGAAAGAGAAAGAGAGGAAGAAGAAGAUGAAAGAGAUGUAAAUUUUUCUGUUUUGUUCUGUAAAUAAAUGCUUCUUCCUUCCUUAUGGGACAACAAAAUAAAUAGAGGGAGAAAAAGAGGAAGUGCCGCAAACUGCACAGGAAAUAACAAAGCGAAAAAGAAAAAAACUGAUUUCUUUUUGUGCAGCCAUUGUCUCGAUCUUUCUUCUCCCUUUUCUGUCUUUUGUGUCGGUUCAAGAAUUGGGUUUUCCUUACAGUUGGAUUUGUUAGAGUUCAAAUUGAAUUUUGAGCUCUUUCUUUUGGGAAAAAAAAAAAGAAAGUGCUUGAUUUUAUUUAGCUGAAGAGGUUUCCAAAUUGGGUUUCUGAUGUUCUGUGUCUCAUACUGAUUGGAAGCUGUCCCCACUCAUGACAAUUGUUGCACUAGCUUCCUGAAUUUAAACCCACAACCAAAAAAAAUAAUACCGGGAUGUUUUAAGAUUUAUAUGACUGGUGUUGUUGAACUGUUUCAUUCCCAAUUUUGGCCUUUGGAGAAGAAAGUUACAAAAGCAACUUUCUCUUGGUGGGUUGGAAGUUAAUCAGCUCUUUGAAUUGAAUUGAGUGUUCAUUUGGUUUAUUAGAAAGGUGUGGGUGGUUUGCAUGUAUGUUGUGUAUUAGGUUUGCAUAAUCUUGAAUAGAUUUUGUUGUUUGAAGAAGAUGGCUUCAGCGUUAAGGAUGGGAAUAGAUGAAGGAAGUGGGGAUGAAACUAAAGGAGGGAUGUGGGAAUUAGACCAAAAGCUUGAUCAGCCUAUGGAUGAGGAGGCUGGUAGACUCAAAAAUAUGUAUAGAGAAAAGAAAUUCUCGGCAUUGUUGCUUCUGCGGCUUGCUUUUCAGAGUCUAGGAGUGGUUUAUGGAGACUUGGGAACUUCUCCUUUGUAUGUGUUCUACAAUACAUUUCCCCAUGGAAUUGAUGAUACAGAGGAUGUCAUUGGCGCCCUUUCAUUAAUUAUAUAUUCCCUCACACUUAUCCCUCUCCUCAAGUAUGUUUUUAUUGUUUGUAGAGCGAAUGACAAUGGCCAAGGUGGGACUUUUGCUCUUUAUUCUUUACUAUGUCGCCAUGCUAAGAUAAAGACAAUUCCCAACCAACAUCGGACAGAUGAGGAGCUGACAACUUAUAGCCGUAGCAUAUUCCAUGAGCAUUCAUUUGCUGCAAAAACAAAGCGAUGGUUGGAGGCAUAUCCAUUCAGGAAGAAUGCACUUCUUAUUAUUGUAAUUGUUGGCACUUGCACGGUAAUAGGUGAUGGAAUUCUCACUCCGGCUAUAUCAGUUCUUUCAGCUACUGGUGGGAUCAAGGUGGAUCAUCCAAAGAUGAGUAAUGACGUAGUGGUGGUUGUUGCUGUCAUUAUAUUGGUUGGUCUGUUUAGCUUACAACACUAUGGCACAGACAGGGUUGGUUGGCUGUUUGCUCCCAUUGUGCUGCUUUGGUUUCUAUUAGUAGGAGGUAUCGGCAUCUUCAACAUCUGGAAGUACGAUAGCUCUGUUUUGAGGGCUUUUUCUCCCGUGUACAUAUAUAGGUAUUUUAGGAGGAGAAAGCAAGAGGGUUGGACAUCUCUGGGAGGAAUAAUGCUCAGUAUUACAGGGACAGAGGCACUUUUUGCUGAUCUUGCUCAUUUUCCAGUGUCAGCAAUACAGCUUGCUUUCACAGUCAUUGUUUUCCCAUGCCUUCUUUUAACCUAUACGGGGCAAGCAGCAUACCUCAUGCAAAAUAAGGAACAUGUUGUCGAUGCAUUCUACCGUUCUAUUCCAGAGAAAGCAUAUUACUGGCCAGUUUUUGUCAUUGCAACUUUAGCUGCUAUCGUUGCAAGUCAAGCAACCAUUUCUGCUUACAUUUUCGAUAAUCAAGCAAGCUCUGGCACUAGGCUGUUUUCCAAGAGUUAAGGUUGUACAUACGUCAAAGAAGUUCCUUGGGCAGAUUUAUAUUCCUGAUAUAAAUUGGAUACUUAUGAUUCUUUGCAUCGGUGUCACUGCUGGAUUCAGAAAUCAAAGUCAAAUUGGCAACGCAUACGGAACGGCAGUCGUGAUAGUCAUGUUGGUGACCACGCUCCUCAUGACCUUGAUAAUGUUACUAGUUUGGCGCUGCCAUUGGGUUCUUGUCCUUAUCUUCACUGUCUUAUCUGUGGUGGUUGAAUGUACCUACUUCUCUGCUGUGUUAUUUAAGGUUGAUCAGGGUGGUUGGGUUCCGCUUGUGAUUGCUGCAGCUUUUCUUGUCAUCAUGUAUGUCUGGCAUUAUGGAACUGUGAAACGAUAUGCAUUUGAGAUGCACAGCAAGGUGUCAAUGGCAUGGAUUCUUGGGCUGGGCCCCAGUUUAGGACUUGUACGUGUACCGGGGAUAGGACUUGUCUACACCGAGCUGGCUAGUGGGGUGCCACACAUCUUUUCUCACUUCAUUACAAAUCUGCCAGCUAUACAUUCAGUUGUGGUAUUUGUCUGUGUGAAGUAUCUUCCAGUUUACACAGUUCCAGAAGAUGAGAGGUUCCUCGUGAAACGCAUAGGACCCAAGUCUUUUCACAUGUUCCGCUGUGUUGCAAGGUAUGGUUACAAAGACCUCCAUAAGAAAGAUGAGGAGUUCGAGAGAAAGCUAUUUGAUAACCUCUUCCUUUUUGUUCGGCUGGAGAAUAUGAUGGAAGGCUGCUCUGACUCCGACGAAUACAGCUUAUACGGACAGCAAACACAGAAUUCAAUGGAUUAUUUAGUGCGAAAUAGCGGCAACUCAACUACAGGAAAUAAUGACUUUACAUGUUCGACGGUGGAAUCAAUAGUACCUGUGAAAUCUCCCACUCAAGGAAGCAAUACAGUCACAUCAUCGUUGGGCCGUGAGAGCAGCCAGGCAGAAGUGGACGAAAUGGAAUUCUUAAAUCGUUGUCGAGAUGCUGGGGUUGUACACAUUCUUGGAAACACUGUAGUUAGAGCAAGGAGAGACUCUAGGUUCUAUAAGAAAAUUGCUAUUGACUAUAUAUAUGCGUUUCUUAGGAGAAUUUGCAGGGAAAAUAGUGUGAUCUUCAACGUACCUCAUGAGAGCCUCUUGAACGUUGGACAAAUUUUCUAUGUAUAAAUAUUUUCGCAAAUGAUCAAUCGAAGAUAUUAUGGUCAUCAGUUGGCUAGCGACGGAUCAAAUGGUUUUGGGGAUCUUUACAAAUUUGUUUUUAGUUUUAUGAUCCUAACACUUUUUUAUCAUAUAGGAGAUUUACUUUUACACAUAAGAGAUCUAUUAUUUUGCCCAUAAGACUUUUUAAAUUUCAACAUUGUAAAUGCCCAUGAAGGCCUAUUUCCUUAGCAAAGCAUUGCACAUUCCAGUAAAAUGUGA